CCUACGGGAGGCUGCAGUGGGGAAUAUUGCACAAUGGGGGAAACCCUGAUGCAGCGACGCCGCGUGAGUGAAGAAGCGUUUCGGCGCGUAAAGCUCUGUCAGCGGGGAAGAAACACGGUUCGCGAGAGCCGCGGACGGUACCCGACCAAGGAGCACCGGCUAACUACGUGCCAGCAGCCGCGGUAAUACGUAGGGGGCAAGCGUUAUCCGGAUUCACUGGGUGUAAAGGGAGCGUAGACGGCGAGACAAGUCUGGAGUGAACGGCCGGGGCCCACCCCCGGGACUGCUCUGGAAACUGCCUGGCUGGAGGACAGGAGAGGUGAGUGGAAUUCCUAGUGUAGCGGUGAAAUGCGUAGAUAUUAGGAGGAACACCAGAGGCGAAGGCGGCUAACUGGACUGCAACUGACGCUGAGGCACGAAAGUGUGGGGAGCAAACAGGAUUAGAUACCCUGGUAGUC
This 458-nucleotide ribosomal RNA is filed under the name uncultured bacterium. RNAcentral describes it as "partial 16S ribosomal RNA". It matches the Rfam family "Bacterial small subunit ribosomal RNA", at positions 338 to 795 of the family's 1533-position model. The record is from RNAcentral.